RNAcentral lists this unclassified non-coding RNA (374 nucleotides) under soil metagenome. Its description in RNAcentral is "partial contains 5.8S ribosomal RNA, internal transcribed spacer 2, and large subunit ribosomal RNA". The stretch from base 1 to 118 matches the Rfam family "5.8S ribosomal RNA", at positions 35 to 154 of the family's 154-position model. The record is from RNAcentral.
GAUGAAGAACGUAGUGAAAUGCGAUACGUAAUGUGAAUUGCAGAAUUGUGAAUCAUCGAAUCUUUGAACGCACAUUGCGCCCUUCGGUAUUCCGGGGGGCAUACCUGUUUGAGCGUCAUUUCAUUCUUAAAUCAUUAGAUUUAGUGUUGAGUCUUUAUUUUUGUUUGUUUAUUCAGGCAAAAUGACUUGAAAUGAAUUGGCAGAGGCGAAUCCAGUUUAAGAGCUUUCUACAACGUAAUAGGUUUUACCAACUCGUUGGCUUUAUGGAAGUUCUGUUUGGAUGAGCUUUGGCGUUAUAACCAAAACUUUUAUAAGUUUGACCUCAAAUCAAGUAAGAUUACCCGCUGAACUUAAGCAUAUCAAUAAGCGGAGGA